Molecule: long non-coding RNA, 767 nt
Organism: Mauremys reevesii (Reeves's turtle)
Lineage: Eukaryota; Metazoa; Chordata; Testudines; Geoemydidae
Exons: 3
Source: RefSeq, a predicted model, not a curated record
GAAUUAAACAGUGCCAGCAAGUUAGUCUUUCUACAUGCUGCUAAUCAGUUUUGAUGCCUGUCUCUGAACCUCCGCUAUUCUGCUAUACCUUCUUUGGAAUGAGAUGACCAGAACUGAAUGCAGUCUAUUCCAGUGUUGCAGGACCCAAGAAGAGAGAUGCACAAUACCUUUUCCUCAAUACCAUUCAUUCAUACGCCUUCAUUCUGGUGACUUUACAGCAACCUUAGCUGAGAUGGAGCUGAGACAGAGUACGCUCAACAUUGUAUGGCAUAACAGCUGAAAUCAAAGUGGUGACAGUGAGAGAGGGGAAAUUUUGGUCACGGUGACUGAGAAGGAAUAUGUAAAUCUUCAUCUCCCAAAAUGGAGAAAAGGAAUUGAAAGAAGGAAAGAAAACCAGUCAAAGGGGAAGGAAAAGAUACAAAAAUACCCAAUGCUAUCACCACGACCUGGAAAUGUGGAAGCCGCAAGAGAAGAAAUAGCAGCAGUAGUGGAUCUUCAUCCUGGCAAGUAUUUGCACUAUGUGAAGAACAAAGACCAAGACUAUUGACUCAUAAUGUCCAUCGUCUCUUACCCCCAGAACUAAGUAUUUCCACACAGUGAGCUGGCAAAGGGGUAAAACUAAAUAGCAACAGCAGAAGGACUACAUGGCUGGUAUAAUUGUGUCAUUAGAUAUCUGGGUCUUCGACUUCCCCUAGCUAUGGUACAGAGGAUAUGGCUCAAUUAAGAUGUUGCUAUUCCAACUUCAAUGACCACACACCAGUCUGUGG